This 253-nucleotide ribosomal RNA is filed under the name uncultured bacterium. RNAcentral's name for it is "partial 16S ribosomal RNA". It matches the Rfam family "Bacterial small subunit ribosomal RNA", at positions 524 to 776 of the family's 1533-position model. The record is from RNAcentral.
UACGUAGGGGGCAAGCGUUAUCCGGAUUUACUGGGUGUAAGGGGGGCGCAGACGGCGAUGCAAGCCAGGAGUGAAAGCCCGGGGCCCAACCCCGGGACUGCUCUUGGAACUGCGUGGCUGGAGUGCAGGAGGGGCAGGCGGAAUUCCUGGUGUAGCGGUGAAAUGCGUAGAUAUCAGGAGGAACACCGGUGGCGAAGGCGGCCUGCUGGACUGCAACUGACGUUGAGCCCCGAAAGCGUGGGGAGCAAACAGG